Molecule: ribosomal RNA, 410 nt
Filed under: uncultured bacterium
Lineage: Bacteria
Description: bacterial SSU rRNA
Rfam family: Bacterial small subunit ribosomal RNA
Source: RNAcentral
AGAGUUUGAUCCUGGCUCAGGACGAACGCUGGCGGCGUGCUUAACACAUGCAAGUCGAACGGUGAAGUCCCUUCGGGGGCGGAUCAGUGGCGAACGGGUGAGUAACACGUGGGCAAUCUGCCCCUCACUGUGGGAUAACUCCGGGAAACCGGGGCUAAUACCGCAUAUGAAGCCUGGCGGCAUCGCCGGGUUGGAAAGUUUUUCGGUGAGGGAUGAGCCCGCGGCCUAUCAGCUUGUUGGUGAGGUAAUGGCUCACCAAGGCGACGACGGGUAGCCGGCCUGAGAGGGCGACCGGCCACACUGGGACUGAGACACGGCCCAGACUCCUACAGGAGGCAGCAGUGGGGAAUAUUGGGCAAUGGGCGAAAGCCUGACCCAGCGACGCCGCGUGCGGGAUGAAGGCCUUCGGG